UUUACCAGAACCAGUGGCCAAUGGUGAUGUGGAAAAGGGGAACCUUAGAGAUGAACAAUCAGAGAUUAAUCCUGAAAGCCCUUCUAGCCCUAUGACCGUGUCUCCUUCUUCAACUCUAAGUGAACCUUCCAUUGAGCUGUAUUCUCACGAGAAGGAGGAGAAGCUCAGCACCACAUCCAGUCCCAUUCUUGACUGGGACAUUCCCCUGGCAGUAGCCAAAGAGCGUGCCCAUCAGAAACGUACCAGCAAACGGGCACCACAAAUGGACUGGAGCAAGAAAAACGAACUCUUUAGCAACCUGUGAAGCAACCCAACCCCCCCAAGCAGGGAGGUGAUACACAAAUGGCUUUGCAGCCUCAACAGAUGUGAAGAUUGCUGAACCAGAGAGAUCCUUCAAUUUGGAAGAUUUGGGAAGAUCCGUUUUCCUCACCCCUGCUGUCAAGUAUGGAUCUGUGGAAUUAUGUGAUCUGAAAUUAUGGAUUGCAAAUCUCCAGAACAUUGUCAGUUCAUCAGUACAGAUUCUGGAAAUACUAUGCAUCUGAUGCAAUGAGCACAAAAUUAU
Protobothrops mucrosquamatus (brown spotted pit viper) is the source of this 562-nucleotide RNA transcript. RefSeq lists it as uncharacterized. The record is from RefSeq and is a predicted model, not a curated record. The transcript is spliced from 4 exons. Lineage: Eukaryota; Metazoa; Chordata; Lepidosauria; Squamata; Viperidae.